Molecule: ribosomal RNA, 468 nt
Filed under: uncultured bacterium
Lineage: Bacteria
Description: partial 16S ribosomal RNA
Rfam family: Bacterial small subunit ribosomal RNA
Source: RNAcentral
GACGAACGCUGGCGGCGUGCUUAACACAUGCAAGUCGAACGGUGAAGCUCCAGCUUGCUGGAGUGGAUCAGUGGCGAACGGGUGAGUAACACGUGAGCAACCUGCCCCUGACUCUGGAAUAAGCGCUGGAAACGGCGUUUAAUACUGGAUACGAGAAGGGUCCGCAUGGGCACUUUCUGGAAAGUUUUUCGGUUGGGGAUGGGCUCGCGGCCUAUCAGCUUGUUGGUGAGGUAAUGGCUCACCAAGGCGACGACGGGUAGCCGGCCUGAGAGGGCGACCGGCCACACUGGGACUGAGACACGGCCCAGACUCCUACGGGAGGCAGCAGUGGGGAAUAUUGCACAAUGGGCGAAAGCCUGAUGCAGCGACGCCGCGUGAGGGAUGACGGCCUUCGGGUUGUAAACCUCUUUCAGCAGGGAAGAAGCGAAAGUGACGGUACCUGCAGAAGAAGCACCGGCUAACUACGUG